This 308-nucleotide ribosomal RNA is filed under the name uncultured bacterium. Its description in RNAcentral is "partial 16S ribosomal RNA". It matches the Rfam family "Bacterial small subunit ribosomal RNA", at positions 505 to 807 of the family's 1533-position model. The record is from RNAcentral.
GAGACAGCAGUAGCCACGGGAAUACGAAGGGGGCUAGCGUUGUUCGGAUUUACUGGGCGUAAAGCGCACGUAGGCGGACUUUUAAGUCAGGGGUGAAAUCCCGGGGCUCAACCCCGGAACUGCCUUUGAUACUGGAAGUCUUGAGUAUGGUAGAGGUGAGUGGAAUUCCGAGUGUAGAGGUGAAAUUCGUAGAUAUUCGGAGGAACACCAGUGGCGAAGGCGGCUCACUGGACCAUUACUGACGCUGAGGUGCGAAAGCGUGGGGAGCAAACAGGAUUAGAUACCCCAGUAGUCCCUGUCUCUUAUAC